GGAAAGGAUAUUUAGUUUUUCGCAUUGAUGAAGAUCGUAGCAAAAUGCGAUACCUGGUGUGAAUUGCAGAAUCCCGCGGAACCAUGAGUUUUUGAACGCAAGUUGCGCCCGAGGCCUUCUGGCCGAGGGCACGCCUGCCUGGGCGUCACG
This 150-nucleotide ribosomal RNA is filed under the name Chaetobromus involucratus subsp. dregeanus. RNAcentral's name for it is "partial 5.8S ribosomal RNA". It matches the Rfam family "5.8S ribosomal RNA". Rfam says of the family: 5.8S ribosomal RNA (5.8S rRNA) is a component of the large subunit of the eukaryotic ribosome. It is transcribed by RNA polymerase I as part of the 45S precursor that also contains 18S and 28S rRNA. Functionally, it is thought that 5.8S rRNA may be involved in ribosome translocation. The record is from RNAcentral. Lineage: Eukaryota; Viridiplantae; Streptophyta; Magnoliopsida; Poales; Poaceae.